Molecule: microRNA, 22 nt
Filed under: Ovis aries (sheep)
Lineage: Eukaryota; Metazoa; Chordata; Mammalia; Artiodactyla; Bovidae
Source: RNAcentral
CCCUUCCUGGUAUUUGAAGACG